This 406-nucleotide ribosomal RNA is filed under the name uncultured bacterium. Its description in RNAcentral is "bacterial SSU rRNA". It matches the Rfam family "Bacterial small subunit ribosomal RNA", at positions 355 to 776 of the family's 1533-position model. The record is from RNAcentral.
UCGGGAAUAUUGCGCAAUGGAGGAAACUCUGACGCAGUGACGCCGCGUAUGGGAAGAAGGUUUUCGGAUUGUAAACCAUUUUAGACAGGGAAGAAAAAAAGACAGUACCUGUAGAAUAAGCUCCGGCUAACUACGUGCCAGCAGCCGCGGUAAUACGUAGGGAGCGAGCGCUAUCCGGAUUUAUUGGGUGUAAAGGGUGCGUAGACGGGAAAACAAGUUAGUUGUGAAAUCCCUCGGCUUAACUGAGGAACUGCAACUAAAACUAUUUUUCUUGAGUACUGGAGAGGAAAGUGGAAUUCCUAGUGUAGCGGUGAAAUGCGUAGAUAUUAGGAGGAACACCAGUGGCGAAGGCGACUUUCUGGACAGAAACUGACGUUGAGGCACGAAAGUGUGGGGAGCAAACAGG